Molecule: ribosomal RNA, 759 nt
Filed under: uncultured Neisseriaceae bacterium
Lineage: Bacteria; Pseudomonadati; Pseudomonadota; Betaproteobacteria; Neisseriales; Neisseriaceae
Description: bacterial SSU rRNA
Rfam family: Bacterial small subunit ribosomal RNA
Source: RNAcentral
AUUGAACGCUGGCGGCAUGCUUUACACAUGCAAGUCGGACGGCAGCAUAAAAGAGCUUGCUCUUUUGAUGGCGAGUGGCGGACGGGUGAGUAAUGCAUCGGAACGUACCGAGUAGUGGGGGAUAACUGUCCGAAAGGAUGGCUAAUACCGCAUAUUCUCUGAGGAGGAAAGCAGGGGACCUUAGGGCCUUGCGCUAUUUGAGCGGCCGAUGUCUGAUUAGCUAGUUGGUGGGGUAAGAGCCCACCAAGGCGACGAUCAGUAGCGGGUCUGAGAGGAUGAUCCGCCACACUGGGACUGAGACACGGCCCAGACUCCUACGGGAGGCAGCAGUGGGGAAUUUUGGACAAUGGGCGCAAGCCUGAUCCAGCCAUGCCGCGUGUAUGAAGAAGGCCUUCGGGUUGUAAAGUACUUUUGUCAGGGAAGAAAAGCCUGAGGAUAACACCCUCAGGUCAUGACGGUACCUGAAGAAUAAGCACCGGCUAACUACGUGCCAGCAGCCGCGGUAAUACGUAGGGUGCGAGCGUUAAUCGGAAUUACUGGGCGUAAAGCGAGCGCAGACGGUUAUUUAAGCAAGAUGUGAAAGCCCCGGGCUCAACCUGGGAACUGCGUUUUGAACUGGGUAACUAGAGUGUGUCAGAGGGGGGUAGAAUUCCACGUGUAGCAGUGAAAUGCGUAGAGAUGUGGAGGAAUACCGAUGGCGAAGGCAGCCCCCUGGGAUAACACUGACGUUCAUGCUCGAAAGCGUGGGUAGCAAACAGG